AGCCUUGAGGUGUUAACAUAUAGGAUUGCAAAUCUUAAGUAGCAGAUUGACGUCUGCCGGGGCUU
This 65-nucleotide transfer RNA is filed under the name Luciogobius elongatus. RNAcentral's name for it is "tRNA-Cys". The record is from RNAcentral. RNAcentral also lists the same sequence under 1 other name. Lineage: Eukaryota; Metazoa; Chordata; Actinopteri; Gobiiformes; Gobiidae.